Molecule: small RNA, 836 nt
Filed under: Pongo abelii (Sumatran orangutan)
Lineage: Eukaryota; Metazoa; Chordata; Mammalia; Primates; Hominidae
Description: retained intron
Source: RNAcentral
CUCCAUCUCGGCUGAGCCAGGCACCACGAUCCCCCCGGGAAGCCGUGUGACUUUCGUGUGCCGGGGCCCGGCUGGGGUUCAAACAUUCCGCCUGGAGAGGGAGAGUAGAUCCAAGUACAAUGAUACUAAUGACGUGUCUCAAGCUAGUUCAUCUGAGUCAGAGGCCAGAUUCCGCAUUGACUCAAAACCUCUGGAGGCCCGGACUCUCCCGACACAGAGCUCGGCUCCUCAGCUGGACCCAUGCAGAGGCCGUCGGACAACAGUCACAAUGAGCAUGCACCUGCUUCUCAAGGCCUGAGUGCUGAGCAUCUUUAUAUUCUCAUCGGGGUCUCAGUGGUCUUCCUCUUCUGUCUCCUCCUGGUCCUCUUCUUCCUCCGUCGCCAGAAUCAGAUAAAGCAGGGGCCCCCCAGAAGCAAGGACAAGGAGCAGAAGCCACAGCAGAGGUGAGGCCCCUGGGAAUGACUCCUGGACCUCCACCUGGUCCUCGGCCACCAGGCUGCCCCUGAGGUUCACUUUUAUUUUUCCUCUCAGGCCUGACCUGGCUGUUGAUGUUCUAGAGAGGACAGCAGACAAGACCACAGUCAGUGGACUUCCUGAGAAGGACAGAGAGACGGACACCUCGGCCCUGGCUGCAGGGAGUUCCCAGGAGGUGACGUAUGCUCAGCUGGACCACUGGGCCCUCACACAGAGGACAGCCCAGGCUGUGUCCCCACAGUCCACAGAGCCCGUGGCUGAGUCCAGCAUGUAUGCAGCCGUUGCCAGACACUGACCCCAUACCCACCUGGCCUCUGCACCUGAGGAUAGAAAGUCACUCUAGGAAAAGCCUGAAGCAACCA